UCCCGUAGUAGCGGCGAGCGAAAUGGGAGUAGCCUAAACCGUGAAAACGGGGUUGUGGGAGAGCAAGACAAGCGUCGUGCUGCUAGGCGAAGCGGUGGAGUGCUGCACCCUAGAUGGCGAGAGUCCAGUAGCCGAAAGCAUCACUAGCUUACGCUCUGACCCGAGUAGCAUGGGGCACGUGGAAUCCCGUGUGAAUCAGCAAGGACCACCUUGCAAGGCGGGUGACCGAUAGCGAAGUAGUACCGUGAGGGAAAGGUCAAAAGAACCCCCAUCGGGGAGUGAAAUCGAACCUUCCACCGUGAGCUCCGGAGGAGAAUGUGAUCUCUUACCUUUGAAGAAUGAGCCGGCGACUCAUAGGCAGUGGCUUGGUUCAGACCGGAGCCGUAGCGAAAGCGAGUAUUCAUAGGGCUAUUUUCACUGCUUAUGGACCGGUGAUCUAUCCAUAUGACCCAGGAUGAAGCUUGGGUGAAACUAGUCCGAACCUUGAAGAAUCAGCGGGGUUAGGGGUGAAAUGCCACUCGAACCCGGCCUUGGGCCUGACUUUCCUGACUCGACGAUUCCCCUACGGGGGCCCCGCUCUUGGAUUGAUCUAUGACAUUCUUAGUUGGUUUGAACCAAUCUGAAAAUGGAUCUGACUCUGGUGAUAUCAGGGCAACUCCGCCACCAUUGCCUUCUCCGCAAGAGCUGCCAUCAAAAUUGUCAAAAAAAUCAGUAAAGUCUCACCCGAGUAGCAAAUACAGAAGAUAUCAACUUUCCUUCCAGCAUUUCCACACACCAUUGCUUCCUUUUUCAUCAAGAUCGGCCCGGCCGCCGCCCUGAUUUUGUAUUCCGCCAUUCAUUAAUGCAUAUUCCCAAGAGUUUUAGAUCAGGCCAUCAGGCCAACUAUUUGCUACCUAGCUUCAUCAAAAAAAGGGGACCUGUAAAGAAGUCAUUAUGGGUGCUAAUCGCCUAAAUAUCCCGACCCCGGCCCGGCCCCUCUGGGGAUUUGACGACUUUGCUAGACGAAAUCAGACUAUCCAUCGGCGGGCGCCCCGUAUUGCAUAUGAGAUUACCGUUCGGGAACUCCGAUAGGCCUUCGCGUCCCUAAGCUCAAGAAUCCUACCUCCAUUUGACCAGCAGUGAGUAGGAGGUGGCUAACGUGGUCGUUUAACGAAUGGCUAUAGACCACGAACAAAGUAUACCACCAGUCGUACGGGUGGAAUAGCUCAUUGUUGAGGGUGCAGAACGUGGCAGGGGCUUUUGUGAGUCCAAGUCCAAAAGGCAUAACCAAAUCAAACCCGGUCAUCUUUUGCUCGUCUCCUUCCGUGAUACGCUAUCAAAAGUAGCCCGACCUUAGAUCAAACAGAUAGAAGUAUCUAGCGUUCGGUCGAACAAUGGUUAGGUUACCUUGUUGAGCGCGUGUCUUUCUAUACACAAUCUAAGGCUCCCGCUUAUUCUUUCUCAAGAGUUCCCCACCCCCGGCCAUCGCGAGCAGAGGAGCAAUAAGCGGCGUUUAGAAAGAUCUCUGACACUGUGCAUAUUCUGUCAUAAGCUAUCCGGAUCUGAAAACCACAUGCCACGGGAAUCCAGAAUGAGGGGCGGUGCAGCUCGGUGAUCAGGCUCAUCCCAAUGAGUCCCCAGAGGGGGCCGGGGCCCCCCAUAUUCCAUUCGCCACCUCAACCCUUGUGGAAAGGAUUCCCACCACUAGGACACUAAUGAAGAUGAAGAACCCAAGACCUGAUUUGAUGUUUAGGCUGACAUACUUUAGGCAACUCUGCUGAUGGGCCGCUUCACGAAGACUAUAAGCUUGCGUGUGCUAUCACUGACCAUGAGAAUGAUCGAAAAGGAGAGGAAUGAAAUCGCUCGGGUGUAGCCCGAGGAAUGAGACUGAAAGGAGAGGAGUGUAACCACUCGACUGAUAAGGAGAGGAGUGUAACCACUCGACUGAUAAGGAGAGGAGUGUAACCACUCGACUG
RNAcentral lists this ribosomal RNA (1955 nucleotides) under Galeola lindleyana. RNAcentral describes it as "partial 23S ribosomal RNA". The stretch from base 1 to 306 matches the Rfam family "Bacterial large subunit ribosomal RNA", at positions 236 to 565 of the family's 2925-position model. Lineage: Eukaryota; Viridiplantae; Streptophyta; Magnoliopsida; Asparagales; Orchidaceae. The record is from RNAcentral.